This 465-nucleotide ribosomal RNA is filed under the name uncultured Dialister sp. Its description in RNAcentral is "bacterial SSU rRNA". It matches the Rfam family "Bacterial small subunit ribosomal RNA", at positions 338 to 795 of the family's 1533-position model. The record is from RNAcentral. Lineage: Bacteria; Bacillati; Bacillota; Negativicutes; Veillonellales; Veillonellaceae.
CCUACGGGUGGCAGCAGUGGGGAAUCUUCCGCAAUGGACGAAAGUCUGACGGAGCAACGCCGCGUGAACGAAGAAGGUCUUCGGAUUGUAAAGUUCUGUGAUUCGGGACGAAAGGGUUUGUGGUGAAUAAUCAUAGACAUUGACGGUACCGAAAAAGCAAGCCACGGCUAACUACGUGCCAGCAGCCGCGGUAAUACGUAGGUGGCAAGCGUUGUCCGGAAUUAUUGGGCGUAAAGCGCGCGCAGGCGGUUUCUUAAGUCCAUCUUAAAAGCGUGGGGCUCAACCCCAUGAGGGGAUGGAAACUGGGAAGCUGGAGUAUCGGAGAGGAAAGUGGAAUUCCUAGUGUAGCGGUGAAAUGCGUAGAGAUUAGGAAGAACACCGGUGGCGAAGGCGACUUUCUAGACGAAAACUGACGCUGAGGCGCGAAAGCGUGGGGAGCAAACAGGAUUAGAUACCCCAGUAGUC